Molecule: ribosomal RNA, 382 nt
Filed under: Henlea perpusilla
Lineage: Eukaryota; Metazoa; Annelida; Clitellata; Enchytraeida; Enchytraeidae
Description: partial 12S ribosomal RNA
Rfam family: Bacterial small subunit ribosomal RNA
Source: RNAcentral
UUGAGACUUAACUUAAUGCCAGAUAAUACGAACAAUAGUUUAAAAUCCAAAGAAAUUGGCGGUAUCAUAUAUAAUCAGGGGAACCUGUCUCUUAAUUCGAUAAUCCACGAAACCUAAACCUAAUUUAGAAUAUUCAGCCUGUGUACUGCUGUCGCCAGUUAACCUCUAAAAGAAAGUUAACAUAAAAUAUAAUAAAUUAUAUUGACGUCAAGUCAAAGUGCAGCCAAUAAUUAGGAGAACGAUGGGUUACAACCAUAACACUGAUAACGAAUAAAACCAAUAAUUAGUUUUUAAAGGUGGACUUGAGAGUAAUAAUACAAAUAACAUUAUUAACUAUGAUCUAUGAUAUGUACACAUCGCCCGUCACUCUCUUCUCAAGAUG